GUGAGUCAUCGAAUCUUUGAACGCACCUUGCGCUCCUUGGUAUUCCGAGGAGCAUGCCUGUUUGAGUGUCAUGGUAUUCUCAAUCCAUUCAAUACUGUCAAAGGUAUUGGAUUGGUAUUGGAUGUGGAGGAUUAUUGCUGGUCUCUUUAUUGAGUAUCAGCUCCUCUGAAAUGCAUUAGUGUGAAUGUUUACCGAGCAUUUUCUCAGUGUGAUAAUUAUCUACGCUGUGGCUUGCUUGGAUCUUAUAAAUUUCAUGCUUCAAACCGUCUGCAUUAGUGGACAAUUUAUUUGACAAUCUGA
RNAcentral lists this unclassified non-coding RNA (300 nucleotides) under uncultured Hypochnicium. RNAcentral describes it as "sequence contains 5.8S rRNA gene, ITS2". The stretch from base 1 to 71 matches the Rfam family "5.8S ribosomal RNA", at positions 84 to 154 of the family's 154-position model. Lineage: Eukaryota; Fungi; Basidiomycota; Agaricomycetes; Corticiales; Corticiaceae. The record is from RNAcentral.